Long non-coding RNA from Trifolium pratense (red clover), 582 nucleotides. RefSeq lists it as uncharacterized. Lineage: Eukaryota; Viridiplantae; Streptophyta; Magnoliopsida; Fabales; Fabaceae. The record is from RefSeq and is a predicted model, not a curated record. The transcript is spliced from 2 exons.
CAUCAAACUGAUAGUGAUAUUCCAUCUUCUCCCUUCUUCCUUUAUUUUCUUCUAAAACUACACAAAUUAUUUGUUACUUAAGUGCUUACAUAAAAAUUAACAUCAUCCAUUCCCUCACUAGAUUUUGUUUUCCAGACGUUGUUUCCAUCACUUAAAUUAUCACUAAGACUAUCAUCAGAUGGCAUGAUUUAGGUAUAAAGGAAAGGUAGAGAAUGGAAUUGGUGAUAUCGCUACCAUUAAUAGUGUUAAUCUUGAUAUUGGCUUUAGCAUGCUACCUUUUGGGGAGGUGCAGGGGUAGUAAACAAUCAAUUUCUCAUCCACAACAGUUUGGGCCUCCAGCUCCUCCACCACAAGCCCAACCAUGAUAACAAAAGGCCCAAAAUUGUUUUAGAUUAUUAUUUAUUAGUAUAUAGUUAUUUGACUUUGAAAACUAACUAUUAUAUGUAAUUGUAAAUAAUUAUCUAGUAAUACUAUGUUAAUGCUAUAUUCAUGUAGAAUUGAGCAACACAGAAGGAGAAAAAUUGUCGUAAUGUAAUACGAUUGAUAUUUAUUAUUGUUACUCAUUCAUGACUUUAUCUUGAA